This 253-nucleotide ribosomal RNA is filed under the name uncultured bacterium. RNAcentral's name for it is "partial 16S ribosomal RNA". It matches the Rfam family "Bacterial small subunit ribosomal RNA", at positions 524 to 776 of the family's 1533-position model. The record is from RNAcentral.
UACGGGGGGGGUAAGCGUUGUUCGGAAUUACUGGGCGUAAAGGGCUCGUAGGCGGCCAACUAAGUCAGACGUGAAAUCCCUCAGCUUAACUGGGGAACUGCGUCUGAUACUGGAUGGCUUGGAUUCGGGAGAGGAAUGCGGAAUUCCAGGUGUAGCGGUGAAAUGCGUAGAUAUCGGAAGGAACACCAGUGGCGAAAGCGGCUUCCUGGUCCAGCACCGACGUUCAGGCACGAAAGCGUGGGGAGCAAACAGG